Molecule: ribosomal RNA, 812 nt
Filed under: uncultured bacterium
Lineage: Bacteria
Description: bacterial SSU rRNA
Rfam family: Bacterial small subunit ribosomal RNA
Source: RNAcentral
AGAGUUUGAUCCUGGCUCAGAAACGAACGCUGGCGGCGUGGAUAAGACAUGCAAGUCGGACGGGAUUACUUUUGGUAGCAAUACCGAAAGUGAUUCAGUGGCGAACGGGUGCGUAACACGUGGGCAAUCUACCGAGAAGUGGGGGAUAGCUCGCCGAAAGGCGAAUUAAUACCGCAUGUGAUCAGAGGCGACAUCGCUUCGAAAUCAAAGGUGGCGCAAGCUACCGCUUUUUGAGGAGCCCGCGGCCUAUCAGCUUGUUGGUGAGGUAACGGCUCACCAAGGCAUUGACGGGUAGCUGGUCUGAGAGGACGACCAGUCACACUGGGACUGAGACACGGCCCAGACACCUACGGGUGGCAGCAGUCGAGAAUUUUUCUCAAUGGGGGAAACCCUGAAGGAGCGACGCCGCGUGGAGGAUGAAGGUCUUCGGGUUGUAAACUCCUGUCAUUUGGGAACAAGGUGUGCGCGUUAACUGCGCGCGCAUUGAUAGUACCAGAAGAGGAAGAGACGGCUAACUCUGUGCCAGCAGCCGCGGUAAUACAGAGGUCUCAAGCGUUGUUCGGAUUCAUUGGGCGUAAAGGGUGCGUAGGCGGCGCGGUAAGUCGGGUGUGAAAUUUCGAGGCUUAACUUCGAAACUGCAUUCGAUACUGCCGUGCUUGAGGACUGGAGAGGAGACUGGAAUUUACGGUGUAGCGGUGAAAUGCGUAGAUAUCGUAAGGAAGACCAGUGGCGAAGGCGGGUCUCUGGACAGUUCCUGACGCUGAGGCACGAAGGCCAGGGGAGCAAAACGGGAUUAGAUACCCCCGUAGUCC